AUCAAUCAAAGUAGCUCUUUGUGAAUAAAUGCACAUAUAUGGAGAUCACCUGUCUUUACAAGACAAGGGAGCAUGUAAGAAGAUGGACAUUAAUAUUCAGGGGAAGGUCUGGUGAGAGAUCUGAGUGUGGCCAUGAGGACAUCUGGGUGCUCUCUGGGUGCAUGAGCAAGGUUAUUCUGGGCAAAUCCUACUCUGCUGGUGAGAUUUAUUUCUGGAUGGCAAGAAGAAGAAGCUAA
This 236-nucleotide long non-coding RNA is filed under the name Anser cygnoides (Swan goose). RNAcentral's name for it is "lncRNA (ENSACDG00005019328.1)". The record is from RNAcentral. Lineage: Eukaryota; Metazoa; Chordata; Aves; Anseriformes; Anatidae.